This 63-nucleotide transfer RNA is filed under the name Engaeus sericatus. Its description in RNAcentral is "tRNA-Thr". The record is from RNAcentral. Lineage: Eukaryota; Metazoa; Arthropoda; Malacostraca; Decapoda; Parastacidae.
GUUUUAAUAAUUUAAAAAAAAUACUGGUCUUGUAAAUCAGAAAUGAAAUCAUAUCUUAAAAUA